UACGUAGGGUGCAAGCGUUAAUCGGAAUUACUGGGCGUAAAGGGCGCGUAGGCGGCCUUCUAAGUCGAACGUGAAAUCCCUGGGCUCAACCCAGGAACUGCGUCCGAUACUGGAAGGCUUGAAUCCGGGAGAGGGAUGCGGAAUUCCAGGUGUAGCGGUGAAAUGCGUAGAUAUCUGGAGGAACACCGGCGGCGAAGGCGGCAUCCUGGACCGGUAUUGACGCUGAGGCGCGAAAGCCAGGGGAGCAAACGGG
RNAcentral lists this ribosomal RNA (253 nucleotides) under uncultured bacterium. RNAcentral's name for it is "partial 16S ribosomal RNA". It matches the Rfam family "Bacterial small subunit ribosomal RNA", at positions 524 to 776 of the family's 1533-position model. The record is from RNAcentral.